GAUGAACGCUGGCGGCGUGCUUAACACAUGCAAGUCGAACGAAGCACUCUAUUUGAUUUUCUUCGGAAAUGAAGAUUUUGUGACUGAGUGGCGGACGGGUGAGUAACGCGUGGGUAACCUGCCUCAUACAGGGGGAUAACAGUUGGAAACGACUGCUAAUACCGCAUAAGCACACAGGAUUGCAUGAUCCGGUGUGAAAAACUCCGGUGGUAUGAGAUGGACCCGCGUCUGAUUAGCCAGUUGGCAGGGUAACGGCCUACCAAAGCGACGAUCAGUAGCCGACCUGAGAGGGUGACCGGCCACAUUGGGACUGAGACACGGCCCAAACUCCUACGGGAGGCAGCAGUGGGGAAUAUUGCACAAUGGGGGAAACCCUGAUGCAGCGACGCCGCGUGAGCGAAGAAGUAUUUCGGUAUGUAAAGCUCUAUCAGCAGGGAAGAAGAAUGACGGUAC
This 453-nucleotide ribosomal RNA is filed under the name uncultured bacterium. RNAcentral describes it as "bacterial SSU rRNA". It matches the Rfam family "Bacterial small subunit ribosomal RNA", at positions 28 to 478 of the family's 1533-position model. The record is from RNAcentral.